This 2677-nucleotide ribosomal RNA is filed under the name Salmonella enterica subsp. enterica serovar Enteritidis. RNAcentral describes it as "partial 23S ribosomal RNA". It matches the Rfam family "Bacterial large subunit ribosomal RNA". The record is from RNAcentral. Lineage: Bacteria; Pseudomonadati; Pseudomonadota; Gammaproteobacteria; Enterobacterales; Enterobacteriaceae.
UAUAACCGGCGAUACCCGAAUGGGGAAACCCAGUGUGACUCGUCACACUAUCAUUAACUGAAUCCAUAGGUUAAUGAGGCGAACCGGGGGAACUGAAACAUCUAAGUACCCCGAGGAAAAGAAAUCAACCGAGAUUCCCCCAGUAGCGGCGAGCGAACGGGGAGGAGCCCAGAGCCUGAAUCAGCAUGUGUGUUAGUGGAAGCGUCUGGAAAGGCGCGCGAUACAGGGUGACAGCCCCGUACACAAAAGCGCAUGUGCUGUGAGCUCGAUGAGUAGGGCGGGACACGUGGUAUCCUGUCUGAAUAUGGGGGGACCAUCCUCCAAGGCUAAAUACUCCUGACUGACCGAUAGUGAACCAGUACCGUGAGGGAAAGGCGAAAAGAACCCCGGCGAGGGGAGUGAAAAAGAACCUGAAACCGUGUACGUACAAGCAGUGGGAGCACCCUUUGGGUGUGACUGCGUACCUUUUGUAUAAUGGGUCAGCGACUUAUAUUCUGUAGCAAGGUUAACCGAAUAGGGGAGCCGGAGGGAAACCGAGUCUUAACCGGGCGUUAAGUUGCAGGGUAUAGACCCGAAACCCGGUGAUCUAGCCAUGGGCAGGUUGAAGGUUGGGUAACACUAACUGGAGGACCGAACCGACUAAUGUUGAAAAAUUAGCGGAUGACCUGUGGCUGGGGGUGAAAGGCCAAUCAAACCGGGAGAUAGCUGGUUCUCCCCGAAAGCUAUUUAGGUAGCGCCUCGUGAAUUCAUCUCCGGGGGUAGAGCACUGUUUCGGCUAGGGGGCCAUCCCGGCUUACCAACCCGAUGCAAACUGCGAAUACCGGAGAAUGUUAUCACGGGAGACACACGGCGGGUGCUAACGUCCGUCGUGAAGAGGGAAACAACCCAGACCGCCAGCUAAGGUCCCAAAGUCAUGGUUAAGUGGGAAACGAUGUGGGAAGGCCCAGACAGCCAGGAUGUUGGCUUAGAAGCAGCCAUCAUUUAAAGAAAGCGUAAUAGCUCACUGGUCGAGUCGGCCUGCGCGGAAGAUGUAACGGGGCUAAACCAUGCACCGAAGCUGCGGCAGCGACACUGUGUGUUGUUGGGUAGGGGAGCGUUCUGUAAGCCUGUGAAGGUGUGUCGUGAGGCAUGCUGGAGGUAUCAGAAGUGCGAAUGCUGACAUAAGUAACGAUAAAGCGGGUGAAAAGCCCGCUCGCCGGAAGACCAAGGGUUCCUGUCCAACGUUAAUCGGGGCAGGGUGAGUCGACCCCUAAGGCGAGGCCGAAAGGCGUAGUCGAUGGGAAACGGGUUAAUAUUCCCGUACUUGGUGUUACUGCGAAGGGGGGACGGAGAAGGCUAUGUUGGCCGGGCGACGGUUGUCCCGGUUUAAGCGUGUAGGUGUGUGUUCCAGGUAAAUCCGGUUCACUUUAACACUGAGGCGUGACGACGAGGCACUACGGUGCUGAAGCAACAAAUGCCCUGCUUCCAGGAAAAGCCUCUAAGCAUCAGGUAACAUCAAAUCGUACCCCAAACCGACACAGGUGGUCAGGUAGAGAAUACCAAGGCGCUUGAGAGAACUCGGGUGAAGGAACUAGGCAAAAUGGUGCCGUAACUUCGGGAGAAGGCACGCUGACACGUAGGUGAAGUGAUUUACUCAUGGAGCUGAAGUCAGUCGAAGAUACCAGCUGGCUGCAACUGUUUAUUAAAAACACAGCACUGUGCAAACACGAAAGUGGACGUAUACGGUGUGACGCCUGCCCGGUGCCGGAAGGUUAAUUGAUGGGGUCAGCGCAAGCGAAGCUCCUGAUCGAAGCCCCGGUAAACGGCGGCCGUAACUAUAACGGUCCUAAGGUAGCGAAAUUCCUUGUCGGGUAAGUUCCGACCUGCACGAAUGGCGUAAUGAUGGCCAGGCUGUCUCCACCCGAGACUCAGUGAAAUUGAACUCGCUGUGAAGAUGCAGUGUACCCGCGGCAAGACGGAAAGACCCCGUGAACCUUUACUAUAGCUUGACACUGAACAUUGAGCCUUGAUGUGUAGGAUAGGUGGGAGGCUUUGAAGUGUGGACGCCAGUCUGCAUGGAGCCGACCUUGAAAUACCACCCUUUAAUGUUUGAUGUUCUAACGUGGACCCGUUACCCGGGUUGCGGACAGUGUCUGGUGGGUAGUUUGACUGGGGCGGUCUCCUCCUAAAGAGUAACGGAGGAGCACGAAGGUUGGCUAAUCCUGGUCGGACAUCAGGAGGUUAGUGCAAUGGCAUAAGCCAGCUUGACUGCGAGCGUGACGGCGCGAGCAGGUGCGAAAGCAGGUCAUAGUGAUCCGGUGGUUCUGAAUGGAAGGGCCAUCGCUCAACGGAUAAAAGGUACUCCGGGGAUAACAGGCUGAUACCGCCCAAGAGUUCAUAUCGACGGCGGUGUUUGGCACCUCGAUGUCGGCUCAUCACAUCCUGGGGCUGAAGUAGGUCCCAAGGGUAUGGCUGUUCGCCAUUUAAAGUGGUACGCGAGCUGGGUUUAGAACGUCGUGAGACAGUUCGGUCCCUAUCUGCCGUGGGCGCUGGAGAACUGAGGGGGGCUGCUCCUAGUACGAGAGGACCGGAGUGGACGCAUCACUGGUGUUCGGGUUGUCAUGCCAAUGGCACUGCCCGGUAGCUAAAUGCGGAAGAGAUAAGUGCUGAAAGCAUCUAAGCACGAAACUUGCCCCGA